This is a long non-coding RNA of Anolis carolinensis (green anole), 11344 nucleotides long. RefSeq lists it as uncharacterized. The transcript is spliced from 4 exons. The record is from RefSeq and is a predicted model, not a curated record. Lineage: Eukaryota; Metazoa; Chordata; Lepidosauria; Squamata; Anolidae.
AUACCCUUUCACAUUCAGCUUCCUGAAAAACACCCUUUCUUCCUUCAUGCUGCUCAAUUAGCAUUUCCUGCAGCUCUUAAUGGUACUACUGAAUGAAAAAACUGGCUUGGAGAAGGAAAGAGCUCAGCUGGUUGCAGGAACUUGUCCAUAGGAAACACCAGGUUGAAGGGGGUGAGGGUGGGCAAUGCCUUCUUCCCCUUCCUUCUCUGCUCCCUUCAGGGCAUGGGCGAGAUCACUCACCCGAUGGCGGCAGGGCUGCCUAUCGACAGUUCGGCCUUCCGCUACCCGAGUCUAAGGGAAGGCCGAGUCGCAGAUGAGGAGGUGGAGGAGGCGGAGCGGCCUGUGAUCAUGAGGCUCCAUUUUUAGCCGCCAUUUCGGAAAAAAAAGCCACCUGUCUAGAAGGAAAGUUCAUUUCCAGUUCUACUGAUUUUGAGAGUCAGCUAGUUGUUGGAGGUCAUGUUGUAAAUCUGCCUGUGAAGACAAGAUGAGAAAGUGUUCGCCGUCAAUUGAAAUCCCGCCUUUAAAUUUGAUUUUUCGGAAGAGGUUUUCUAAUGUUGCUGCAAAUAGUUUUGGGAAUAUUGUUUCUCUUGGCGCACUCCUUUGUUUAUUCCGAUCUUGAAUAGACUACUGCAACACACUCUAGAUCUGAUGUGGCAAUCUUUUAUAGUCUGAAGCAUAUAUUGUUUGCUAAGCCGUAAAGAGGUCUGAAUUGGUGUAACAGGUUCUGAUGUUACAAAGACACUCAUAUUUAUCUUGAAAAUCUGAAGCAAUGCUAUCUUCCUUAUGUCAUUCCUAAUAAAAAUAAACGAACAUUUGGUGGGUCACUACAAAAUGAAAAGUUUAAAUGCAGCCUGCUAUUUUCCUUUCUCAAAAACAAGACUGUGCUUCUUUGAUCUGUGCCAACAAAAUUGUAAAGGAGAAUUUUAUGAGAUUUUAUUAUAUAAGACUUUGGGGAAAAUAAAAUACAUCUGGCAAUAACAACUUGAUUAUGAUCCUUGUUAACAAUGCCACCAGAAACUGACAAUGGAAUUGUGUUGGAGGCUUAGAGAGAACACCUCUCUAGGCAUCACUGUGUCUUCCAAAGCAGUUAUAUUGUAUGCUGUGGCUGAAAGCCCAAGACAUUGUUUAUUUCACAUUAAAAAAUAGGGUACCAGAUUAUAUGCAAAACCAUAGUCCUGGAAUCUGAUUAUCCUAGCAGUUAACUUGGAGCUGUGUGUUUUUCCAUUAUGGCACACUAUUUUAUUUUUAAAAUAGUGCAAAACAAUGUUUUGAGAGAAGUUGAGAGAAUUGGGGGGGGUGGCUUUAACAAAGGGUCAGUUUCUUUUGGAAUGGAAUGAGUUUUGGGGAAGUUCUAGGCAGUGUCCUAAAUUGGUGAAUUAUGGUGGAGAAUGCUAUGAGCGAAGGAAGAUAGAUGCUUUUGAACUUUGGUGCUGGAGGAAAAUCCUGAGAGUGCCUUGGACUGCAAGAAGAUCCAACCAGUCCAUCCUCCAGGAAAUCAUGCACAGCUGUUCACUGGAAGGAAGGAUAUUAGAAGCAAAGAUGAAGUAUUUUGGCCACAUCAUGAGAAGACAGGAAAGCUUGGAAAAGAUCAUGAUGCUGAGAAAAUGGAAGGAAAAAGGGAGAGAGGCCGACCAAGGGCAAGAUGGAUGGAUGGUAUUGUUGAAAUGUCUGGCUUGACCUUGAAGGAACUGGGGGCGGCAACAGCCAACAGGGAGCUCUGGCCGUGGACUGGUCCAUGAGGUCACGAAGAGUCGGAGACGACUGAGUGAAUGAACAACAACAAUGCUACCAUGUUGCCAUUUGUUAAUUCUGGUUAGAAAAGGAAGCGUAUUUUAAUGCGUCCAGUGAUUCCUGUGAGAGUUAGUGUCAGGAUUUCCAUUAGCAGCAAGAUAACUCAUUAUGCACAUUUACCACAUGAAUCACUUCAUUAGACAAAUGGAUCUAGGAGAAUAAGCUAUGUUCUUAGAAGACUCUUCAGAGCUCUCACACAAACUGUUUAGUGAUAUAUAUUUGUCCUUGGUUAGGGAAACAAAGGAUUCCUUUGCAGUAAAGCGAACGAUUCAGGAAGUUCAUUUUCAUUCAAGAGCAAGGAGAGGAAAGACUAAAAAAAAAGACAGUGUUACAACGAAGCCUCACAUAAUUUUCUAAGGCUUAAGUAAAAGAUGCAUAGUUGUCAGCCAAGUCUUAACAUUGCUACUGCUGUAAAGUAUCGUAGUCCCCAUGCAGAAGUAUGCUUGCAACUGAAGUUUGUAGAAGCCAUGCUUGAUACAAAAUAGUUCCUUAUGUGCGUAAAAGGGUGCUGACUUAUGUAGUUUAAAUUACAGUUUUCUCCAUGUUGUUCCAGUUUGAAAUACAUUAAAAAUUUCCAAGUUAUUUGGUUAUUUUAAAUGCUUUCCCUUCUUCUAUCUCAGUAAUGAUUGGCCAUGAGUGAUAUGCAAUCCCUAAAGCUGUUUUCAGCCCUCUAGGGUGCUCUUUUGCCCAAAAUGAGGGGGUGAAUAUCUUCUCUGGAAUUUCACCUUUUUAAAAAAAUGCCAUACCGAUUAACUUAAACAAUGAUUCAUUUCUGAAAUCCAAGUGGGGAUUUCAUUAGGACCUGCUCUUCUAUUCAUCCUCUCCAUGUUCUUCUGGACAAAAUUUAGAAGUGGAUGGUCCCAUCUAUUACAGUACUUCUAUAUCUCUACCUAGCCCUCCCGUUUCCAUGACUCAGAAAGCCCUGACACAUUUUACUACCUGAAGUUGAUCCACCUUGCAAUGCUACAGCCAUGCAAAAAAAAAAAAUCCACACCAUUAAUACUUUGAUUCCUACUGUUAUCUAUUCUCUUCCCUCCUUCCCACAGCUAUGAUAAUUCUUAAAGUGGAUUACUUCAUGCUGUUGCAUGAAAGAGUGGUUCUCCCUGAGGCACAGUGGUUCUUUUAUCCUGAUGGUGGCUCCAAACGUUAAGAAGGGACAACUAUACACUAUUUUUCAUGUGCAAAUGUAUAACACAAAUAAUUACACCCCCCCAAGAGCUGAGAUUAUGUAUGAGCAUAAUAUGAUAUGAGCAGGGCCAUUCCUCAUAGGAAGUAUGCUCACAGUUAAGGUCAGCUCUGCCAACCUCAAGAUUACCCCAAACCCUUUCUACCUUAGUCUUUGCCUGCUGAAGAUAUGGCUAGAGAAGCUUAAGUAUUUGAAUAACUGAGUCAGAAAUUACACCUGUUAUUUUGUGGAAAAUAUGAUGGGGGUAUUGACUUUGUUAUUACAGGUAUUAUAUUCCAAAUGACAUUCUCCCUCUAAAAAAAUGAAAUUGUAAGGAUAAUUUUGGACACCCUGCAUUUCUAUCUUUUACACUCCUUGUCUAAAUCCCUUAUUUCUCAACAGGUCAAAGUACUUGGUAAACAUUUAAAAUAAGGAUGUCUAACUAUUGUUAGCAAGGCCUUUUCAUAAUACCAUAGCAUUAGAACCUAAAGCAGCUUUGUACAUGCAUACUUGUUGACAACAAAGAACCAUCUUUUCAUAAAUAACUCACCCUGACUCAUGAACAGUGUGCCAGAGAAAGGAAAAUGAGUGUAACUGCUUUAAGUGAUCCUGCCCACUAGGUUUAUUUCAUUAAUGUUUGCUUUCUAUUGUAAGUCAAGACUACAUUGUUCUUUCAAUGACAGGUGAUUACUAGAGGCUAGUUUCUGCCUGUUGCUAUGGUAAACGAGUUUAAAGAUAUACAGCACUGUUUCUUCUGAAAUUCAGGUAUUCACCCAAGCUUCAUUAAUGUGGACAUGUGAUAAAUUAUAGUAAUUAUCUUUCUCCUUCAAGAGUCUUGUCUCGUUUGUAUGUCGCACAGCUACAAUAAUCUCCCUCUUUCAACCUUACUGUAGUUAGUAGCAGUCAUUCCUGAUGUCUGCUUUACCCCUUCACCCUUACACUUUGAGAUAAGGAAGGCUAGGCCUUUAUUACAGUCCUUUUCAACUGAUUUGUUUUAUUUGGGAGGUGGCUCUCUUUAUCUUACACAGAUAGUUAUAGGUUUAAUACUAUAGACAAUCCCCAAGUUAUAGACAAUAGAGGUUCUGUACGUUAAUUCUUAAGUUGAACUUUUAUGUAAGUCGGAACAGGUACAUUUUUUAGGUGUAACACCAGCCCAAUAUAAAUAUUUUUUAGUUUUGGAUUGCAUAGGGAAGGAUUAACACCCCACACCCCUGUGGUUUUUGUUUUGUUGUCUGUGCCCCUGUUCAGAAGAUUUCCCAAAAAGCUCCCUUUUUGUCCCUGUGAUCAUUGAAUUUUUAAAAAUUUGGCUUGUUGUGGAAACAAGGAUUGGUGAUAAUAAUAAUUAUUAUUAACUUUAAUUAUACCCCGCCUUUCUCCCCAUUGAGAUUCAAGGCUACUAACAAUCCCACACUUUAGUCAAAUUUAAAAAGUGCAAUACAAAAGUUAAAAACAAUAAAAUAGUACAGUGUGGUAAAAACAGAUUAAAAUAGAAUACAGUAGAGUCUCACUUAUCCAACACUCACUUAUCCAACGUUCUGGAUUAUCCAACGCAUUUCUGUAGUCAAUGUUUUCAAUACAUCGUGAUAUUUUGGUGCUAAAUUCGUAAAUACAGUAAUUACAACAUAACAUUACUGCGUAUUGAACUACUUUUUCUGUCAAAUUUGUUGUAUAACAUGAUGUUUUGGUGCUUAAUUUGUAAAAUCAUAACCUAAUUUGAUGUUUAAUAGGCUUUUCCUUAAUCCCUCCUUAUUAUCCAACAUAUUUGCUUAUCCAACGUUCUGCCGGCCCCUUUAUGUUGGAUGAGUGAGACUCUACUGUAAAUACAUUCAAAAUUGCCUUUAAAACUCACCUACCCCCCCCCCCCCCCCCCGUAAUCCCACCCACAACCUCCCCAGAAGCCUGCCCCUUAUCCUUACCCAAAUGCCUUCUGGCAGGUCUUGAUUUGCCUGCAGAAGGCCAGAAAGGAAGGGGUUAUCCUGGUCUUUCUUGGGAGGAAGUUCCACAGUCUGGUAGCAGCCACUGAAAAGGCCCUCUCUCAUGUUCCUACCAAAUGUGCUUGAGCGGAUGGUGGGACAGAGAUAAGGCCCUCACCAGUAGAUCGAAGAUUAAACUUCAGUGGACACUUUUCCUCCAUGAUAACUCUUCCAGGUCUCUUGAAGGCCUGGUUUCCAAGGGUGUGUGAGUUUGAGAGGAGUGGGAUCCAUUUAGCCAAGGUAGUAUGGAAAACAAUGUCUUGAACAUUGCCCUGGCACAGUCAGUUGUUUAAGCAGCCUCCUUAGAGCACAUUAUAGUUGAUCACAUUCUUUUGUCAUCCUUUAUCUCCUCGCUGCAGCUACCCUUUCCUUUUGCAAUAUCCUUUGGCUCUGUUAUGUCAACAGCGCAAACAGUCUCAGCCAUAGGUUUUUACUGUCCUCCCACCUCACUAGCUGUUUAUCACAAUACAGAUCUCUAUGGUUUAUGCCAUCAUUAGUUAACUGUAGUAGAGAAAUAUACAAAAUGCCAAUGUCAUUUUAUUGGAUAAGUGAGCUCAUAUGUAAUCGGGGGAGAACCAUACAUGGGGGGUACUAUUUUUUACAGCAGUCUUAUGAGUGAGAGGUGAAAUACAAAAAAGCCAAGCAAUAUACCUAACCAAACAGUAACUUUUGGGUUUCUCUCUGUAUUUACCAACAAUGGAAGUGUUAAAUCGUUACGUUCCUUCUAUAGUGAUAAAAGAUGACCAUAGGAAAUACAACUUUUAUUGUGUCCAUGAAAUGAUCGUGGGAGACUAUUUCACAAUGUAAUAGCAUUUGGCAGACACCAAAAGAAACCCUGAGCUAGUCAGGGGACGCAAAUGUUUUGCUUAUUUCAGCAUCAUUUACAUUAUUUACUUGCUCUGCCACGGCCUUAGAAAGCAAGUUGCUAGAAACAAAAUAAAAAAAAUGGCGGGGACAUUCUUUCCAGUUUGUUUAAACACUGACAGAGAAACAGUGUGUCUAAUCAAUUGCAGAAGGAAAUAUUCAGCAUAAAAGAAAACACAUGGGCAUGUGUUAUCCCAAGACAAUACUAGCAGGAGGAGAGAGUGAGUAUACACAUGCUUUUCAUCACCUAGAAAGCAAAGCCAGGGAAAUCCUGGCCAGUGGCCAACAGAGUCAUAUAACAAUUGUUUCCUAUGCACGUAUAAGAUUCAUAAUGGCACAACUUGGAGAGUGGGUAAAGGUCCUAUUGGGGGAGCAACAUAUUCCUCUUCUCUCAGCAAUCGCAGCAGAAUGUUGUUUUUAUUUUGGGGCCAGUUGUAGAUGUGAGUGUUUUGAAGCCAGGUAGGUACGUGUUCCUGGGGAUAAAGGACAGCAGGAAAAAAAUUGAGAGGCAUGUAUGGAGAAGGAAUUCCUUUCCUGCUGUACUGCAGCUUUUCAGAAACUUGCAGUUACAGACUCACCCAGAAAGCGCUCCAUCCACUCUUUAAAGGGCCCAAUUCGGGAAGAAGCGAAUUUAGAAAGAGCUGCUGCUUUGUCUUUACAUUUUUCCCCAGUAUGGUUGUAAGAAAGGGUGAAGAGUAAAAUACUCUUUUUCACUUUUAAUGCUAAUAUGAAAUUAUUACACCAGUCUACAGAUGCUUGCAGAUGAUAGCAGGCAGUAUGAACAUGGCUCAUUGCCAGCAACUCUGCAUGACUGCUCAUGAAAAUAGAUUUUGGGUUCAAUGUACGUCAGAAGGCUAGAAGAAAAUGCCCAUUUGGAAGGAAACCUCUAGUUGACAGAUGUUGACAAUCACUAGUGUGUAAGGGAAAACGAUGAGCAUCAUAUAGACAACUUGUUGUACAAGUCCCAUAUAGCUGAAUGGAAGAACUGGACACAAACUGAGUACACACUCUCAAGUAAAUAAUGUUACUAAGGAGGUCAGAUCAUGCUGACUUCAACAACAAAUAUGUAAACAAUGUGCUUCAGUCCUCAAUUGGGCAUGAUAUGUUUCAUUAUUGAUAGAUCAGGCUUUUAUUUUUCAAUAACUGUAUUAAUGAAUAAUAAAUAUUUUAUUAUUUAUACUCAAAGGUAUAUAUAUGGCUGAUGGAGGACUGAUUUUUCCAGCUUUAUUUAUUUUAUUUCAUUUCAAAAGCAUUGCAUAAUAAAUAAAUUUAAAAAGUGAUGAAAUAAAGGAAAUCACAAGCAGCUAAAGAGUUUUAAACCAAAAGCGGGCAACAGCGACCACAUUGUCCAUGGCUUUAAACAACUCCUCCUCCGUACAUGAGGCAAGACAUUGUGGGCAAGCAUAGAUAUGCGGAGUUGUUUGUUCUGCUCUACAGUCGCACAAGGUGGAGGAUUCCUCCAGGUAGUGCCACUUUGCCAAGUUGUCUUUUGAUCUGCCCACUCCAUUUCUGAGUCUGUUCAGGGACUUCCAAGUUGCCCAUUCUUCAUUUGCCCCUGGAGGAAGACCCUCAUGGUUAGCCAUCCAGUUAGAAUUGCCUAGUUUAGCUGCCCAGAGGGACACCCUUGCUGUCAGGGCCGUAGCCAGAAAAAAAAUUUUGGGAGGGGUUUUGAAAUUUGUGGGGGGGGGGGGUUGAACCCCUACCCCCCCCCCCCCCCCGGCUACAGACCUGUCAAUAUCUGCUUGAGAUAGUACCUGGAGGGACUCUUAAUUUUUUGCAUCUCAUAGACUUAGCAUGGGGAUUUGCUAACCUGUUUGUGGUUAACCAGUUAAAAUUCAUGAGUAAACCAGGUUUUUUUUUUUAAAUCUGAAAAAUUUCGGGGUGUGUGUGGUGUGGUUUGAACCCCCCACCCCGGCUACAGGCCUGCUUGCUGUUGCUGGAGGAACAUCAAGAGGAGUGGUGGUUCUCAUGAAGCCCUUCUUUGAUUUGAGUCUUUUUCCAGUUGAUUUUUUUAAAUAAAAAAAAUAGCUAACUAGAAAUAAAUGCUUGCUAUGGAAGAGUCUGUCACUAUCUAACCCUCCAUCCAGUUCUCUCAUAUAUAUGGUACUUUAAAGGUUAUUCAGCCCUCACUAGUCUCUGCUAAAUUUGUAAUGUGGGAAAUCUAUGCAAGGCUCUAUUUUUGCUCAAUAUAGUUUAACAGUCCCUAGCUUUUGUAAUUUUUCAAAACACUUAGAACUACUGUCACAACAUAUGAACGAACACCAAUAGUUUUUAGUAUAUGAAUAUUCUUGACACAAACUAUAUGUCACAAAUUGCUGUGAAGCCGUCCUCUAAGAUGUUAUCAUUUCAAAUACCAAGAUCAUUUUAUUUAACAUGAUUUAACAGAAAAGGCUCUCAAACCUUACUGUGUUUUCAGCUAACAUAAAGUGUGAUUAAUUCAGUUAUUUACUUUUUACCUUUUUUGCAUUGGGAAAAAGCACAGGAAUGAAUCUAAAGUUCAUGCUUCCUUGCUGUAUGAACUCAAUCUGCAUCUAAGAAACCAAAACAAAGUUUUUAACAAGCAUUUUAUACUGCAAGCAUUUAAAGUUCCAAACAAUUCCACAUAUUGCAACAGACUUACAUUUCUAUGUUUGCUGUACCAAAUAGUUUCAAUCCAGCAAUGACAAACAUGUGCAGACAUGUUUGCCCUUCUGGUUUCAAAAUAACAGUCAUCACAGUAGUUCACCUUGCUUGACAUUGGGCCAAAGGCUACAAAUGUUUCCCUGAUCACUGCUAGUCCCCUGCCUGGAACUGAGUAAGCUGAGCAUAGUUUCCACCUCCCCACCCCCCACCCCCCAAGUAUGAACUGGUUUAGACAAUUCCUUACUGAACAACCCUAGCACUGGGUGGCUUAAUAGACUUGCUGUAUGGCUGAUGUACACUACAAAAGGAUCUCUAAAUAUUUGUGUCUAUAUUAUUUUAAAAGGAGCAGAGGGACACUUGCUUAUUAUGGAACUUGUGUUUUGUUGACAAGUGGAAAAUCAGGGUUGCAUUGGAUUGAAAAAAAUAACCUAGGGUUUUUGACCAGAUCAGAGGGCUGUAAACAUACCAGCGAUAUAUACAGUAGAGUCUCACUUAUCCAAGCCAAACGGGCCGGCAGGAGCUUGGAUAAGCGAAUAUCUUGGAUAAUAAGGAGAGAUUAAGGAAAAGCCUAUUAAACAUCAAAUUAGGUUAUGAUUUUACAAAUUAAGCACCAAAACAUCAUGUUAUACAACAAAUUUGACAGAAAAAGUAGUUCAAUACGCAGUAAUGUUAUGUUGUAAUUACUGUAUUUAUGAAUUUAGCACCAAAAUAUCAUGAUAUAUUGAAAACAUUGACUACAAAAAUGGCUUGGAUAAUCCAGAAGCUUGGAUAUGUGAGGCUUGGAUAAGUGAGACUCUACUGUAAUUCAGAAUGAUUUCCACACCAUCUAGAGUUUAUGUACGAUGUGUUUAGAAACAAAUCUGUUAGUGACUAAUCUAGGGACCUUUUCACACGGGCUGUGCCAUGUUGCCAGCAAAAGGGAAGGCACACGGGGCGGCUUGUGGCGCCCCAUGUGCAUUCCCUCCUCUCAUCAUAUGGUGGGGAUAGGAUAGGGUGCGUUGGUACCCUGUCCCUGUCCCCAUCAGAUGGGAGAAAGGCAGCAACUCAACUGCAAUGCGUGUUGCCCCUCUGCCCUUUCCACCAUCAUACAGGAAAAAGGGGAGGAAAAUGCAGGUAGCUUCAUCGGAGCUACCCAAAACACACUUUCCUCCCUGUAGUGGUGUAGGAAGUGCCUUUCGGAGAUUCCCCUCCACUUUGCGAGGAAUAUGGGUGGAGUCUGUUGUGCGUUGUGUGACAUCGCGCGGCAGGCCCCAUCCAAGCCGCAAAUAAAAGCGACAAAAUGGGGCUAUUCUGCCCUCUGUGAAGAGGUAGUAGAUGACUCGGGAUAAGAAAUUUCCAAGCCUUGGCAAAGCCUAGAGUAGAGGUUCUCAAACUUUUUCAGCCAUGGAGCCCUUUUUGAAGCAAACGUUUCUUGUGGAGCCCCAACUUCCCAAGAAAUGUUUAUAUAUUACCGUAUAUACUCGAGUAUAAGCCGACCCAAAUAUAAGCCAAGGCACCUAAUUUUAUCACAAAAAACUGGGAUAACUUAUUGACUCGAGUAUAAGCCGUGGGUGGGAAAUGCAGCAGUUACGGGUAGAAAUAGAAACUUUUAUUACGGUCAAUGACCAGCUUGUAACAGGGGUACCCAGUUCAUUGGAACACGCAGUUACGGCUAAAUUUCAAAAUAAAAAUAGAUACCAAUAAAAUUUCAUUAAUCAAGGCAUCAGUAGGUUAAAUGUUUUUGAAUAUUUACCGUAUUUCAGAGAAAAGCAACAAACUAGCUCUAUAAGUGGAAAAGUAGGGGCAACAAAAACAAUAUGGUAUGUUAUGGUUGAGCCUUCGGGCUCCGGUAAUAGAAGAAGGGGUCAUAAGACUCCUCGAGAGUCAGACUCUUUCGAGGAGCGUGAAAGAAAACGGCUCUGGGAUUUGUUUACAGACCCGACAGAUGAGGACUCAUUUGAGGGUUUUUCUGAGGGUUUGGAGGAAGAGAUGGCCAGCUCGGAGGAGGACGACAUGGAAUGGACUCGUGUGAGGGAGGAUUUGGGUGUUGGGGAAACAGGCAAUGAAAGCAUGGGAGGUGAUUGGCGGGUUGCAGGAUCAGACCCAUGGACUGGCUGGAGGGAUGGAGCGGGAUCCACAGCUGGGGAUGCUGUGGGGCGUAGUCAAAGGUGCUUAAGCUCUGAUGAGGAUGAUGAUGUUGGGGCACCUGGAAUUGGGAUGGCAGCUGACAGCGAUGAUGAGCUUGAACUGGGAUAAAUUGGGGUUUGGGACCAAUAUCUAAUUGCGUUGGGCAAGGUAAUCUGGACGGACGCUUGGGCUUUUGUUGGGGAACUUCCUGAAGACGGGUGUGAUUCGUUACUGGACACCUUGGACCUCCGUUGUCUUUUUGACGGGCAAUAUCUACUCGCACUGGAUUGACGCUGGACUGACUGACUUCGAUUCCGGAUUAUCCCUUCUGCUGGCUAUCGGUGAGACCUUUGGAUUUCCUAGACGACUACGCUUGGCUAUUGACCUCUGGACCGGAUUGGGACCCUGCUGACUGCCGUUACCCUAACUGCUGUGCCUGGACCUGGAUAUCGUUGGCCGCUGAACCUUAAACUGAAUCCUGACUACGACCACGCUUUUCGUUCACUGCAGGAAGGAAUAAACAAGCCUGGUUUAUUCUCCUGCUGUUUCUGAGUAGCAGAGAGGAAUCUGCUACCAGUCUGUUGUUUACAUUCUGACUCCUGUUGAUCCUCUUUUGUUUGCAUUGUUUGCCAGGCUGAAGUAAGCACUUUUGAUUUAAUCCGGAUUAUACUUCUGUUUAACCCGGUUUAUCCCUUUGAACCGUUUAAGCUCAAACUGAGCUGUUUUUUGUUACUUAUCACACUGAAGUCAAGUGUUUGCCCUGUUCUUUGUUUCCUACGUGCGUUUUUAGUUCUGUAACCUCAAUAAACUGAGUUUUGUUUUA